Molecule: ribosomal RNA, 381 nt
Filed under: uncultured bacterium
Lineage: Bacteria
Description: bacterial SSU rRNA
Rfam family: Bacterial small subunit ribosomal RNA
Source: RNAcentral
UUGUAAACUUCUUUUAUAUGGGAAUAAAGUGCAGUAUGUAUACUGCUUUGCAUGUACCUUACGAAUAAGGAUCGGCUAACUCCGUGCCAGCAGCCGCGGUAAUACGGAGGAUCCGAGCGUUAUCCGGAUUUAUUGGGUUUAAAGGGAGCGUAGGCGGGUUGUUAAGUCAGUUGUGAAAGUUUGCGGCUCAACCGUAAAAUUGCAGUUGAUACUGGCAUCCUUGAGUACAGUAGAGGUAGGCGGAAUUCGUGGUGUAGCGGUGAAAUGCUUAGAUAUCACGAAGAACUCCGAUUGCGAAGGCAGCCUGCUGGACUGUAACUGACGCUGAUGCUCGAAAGUGUGGGUAUCAAACAGGAUUAGAUACCCUGGUAGUCCACACAG